AUGCUUACCUGGCAUGGGAGAUACCAUGAUCACGAAGGUGGUUUUCGCAGGGUGAGGCUUAUCCACUGCACUCUGGAUGUGUUGACCCCUGCAAUUUCCCCACACAAGAGAAACUCAGUUGCAUAAUUUAUGGUAAUGGGACUGCAUCAUGCUCAUA
This is a small nuclear RNA of Jaculus jaculus (lesser Egyptian jerboa), 157 nucleotides long. RefSeq annotates it as U1 spliceosomal RNA. The record is from RefSeq and is a predicted model, not a curated record. NCBI's taxonomy places the organism in Eukaryota, Metazoa, Chordata, Mammalia, Rodentia, Dipodidae. The transcript has a single exon.